This 332-nucleotide long non-coding RNA is filed under the name Sorghum bicolor (sorghum). RNAcentral describes it as "long non-coding RNA (SBIC_LNC008250)". The record is from RNAcentral. Lineage: Eukaryota; Viridiplantae; Streptophyta; Magnoliopsida; Poales; Poaceae.
CAGGAACAAUUGGAUCAAGGCAAGUAUAGCAUUUGAGUUUUAUUUCUAUGACCAUGAUCUUGUGACUUGAUUAAUGUUUGAGCAAGAAACGAUAAAAAUGACUUUUUAGCAACUUGAGGAUUUAUCUAUAUGUGAUCACCCAGGAUUGUAGUGCAACCAUGAGGGCUAUAGUGGCUCUGGCUUUAGUCAAGUAUGAGGCCUUGUUUAGUUCCGAAAACUGAAAAGUUUUCGGAACUGUAGCAUUUUCGUUUUUAUUUGACAAAUAUUAUCCAAUCAUGAAGUAACUAGGCUUAAAAGAUUCAUCGCGUCAUUUACAGGUAAACUGUGCAAUU